GAUGAACGCUGGCGGCGUGCUUAACACAUGCAAGUCGAACGGGAAAUAUUUCAUUGAGACUUCGGUGGAUUUGAUUUAUUUCUAGUGGCGGACGGGUGAGUAACGCGUGGGUAACCUGCCUUAUACAGGGGGAUAACAGUCAGAAAUAGCUGCUAAUACCGCAUAAGCGCACAGAGCUGCAUGGCUCAGUGUGAAAAACUCCGGUGGUAUAAGAUGGACCCGCGUUGGAUUAGCUAGUUGGUGGGGUAACGGCCCACCAAGGCGACGAUCCAUAGCCGGCCUGAGAGGGUGAACGGCCACAUUGGGACUGAGACACGGCCCAGACUCCUACGGGAGGCAGCAGUGGGGAAUAUUGCACAAUGGGGGAAACCCUGAUGCAGCGACGCCGCGUGAAGGAAGAAGUAUCUCGGUAUGUAAACUUCUAUCAGCAGGGAAGAUAGUGACGGUACCUGACUAAGAAGCCCCGGCUAACUACGUG
Molecule: ribosomal RNA, 478 nt
Filed under: uncultured bacterium
Lineage: Bacteria
Description: partial 16S ribosomal RNA
Rfam family: Bacterial small subunit ribosomal RNA
Source: RNAcentral